RNAcentral lists this ribosomal RNA (406 nucleotides) under uncultured bacterium. RNAcentral describes it as "partial 16S ribosomal RNA". It matches the Rfam family "Bacterial small subunit ribosomal RNA", at positions 30 to 526 of the family's 1533-position model. The record is from RNAcentral.
AUUGAACGCUGGCGGCAGGCCUAACACAUGCAAGUCGAACGAGUGGCGGACGGGUGAGUAAUGUGUGGGAAACAGCCCGAUGGAGGGGGAUAACUACUGGAAACGGUAGCUAAUACCGCAUACCAUCGGAUGUGCCAAGAUGGGAUGAGCUAGUAGGUUGGGUAAUGGCUCACCUAGGCGACGAUCCCUAGCUGGUCUGAGAGGAUGACCGGCCACACUGGAACUGAGACACGGUCCAGAAUCCGACGGAAGGCAGCAGUGGGGAAUAUUGCACAAUGGGCGCAAGCCUGAUGCAGCCAUGCCGCGUGUAUGAAGAAGGCCUUCGGGUUGUAAAGUACUUUCAGCGAGGAGGCGUUACUCGCAGAAGAAGCACCGGCUAACUCCGUGCCAGCAGCCGCGGUAAUAC